AGUGAACGCUGGCGGUAGGCCUAACACAUGCAAGUCGAACGGCAGCACAGUAAGAGCUUGCUCUUACGGGUGGCGAGUGGCGGACGGGUGAGGAAUACAUCGGAAUCUACUUUUUCGUGGGGGAUAACGUAGGGAAACUUACGCUAAUACCGCAUACGACCUACGGGUGAAAGCAGGGGAUCUUCGGACCUUGCGCGAUUGAAUGAGCCGAUGUCGGAUUAGCUAGUUGGCGGGGUAAAGGCCCACCAAGGCGACGAUCCGUAGCUGGUCUGAGAGGAUGAUCAGACACACUGGAACUGAGACACGGGCCAGACUCCUACGGGAGGCAGCAGUGGGGAAUAUUGGACAAUGGGCGCAAGCCUGAUCCAGCCAUACCGCGUGGGUGAAGAAGGCCUUCGGGUUGUAAAGCCCUUUUGUUGGGAAAGAAAAGCAGCAGGUUAAUACCCCGCUGUUCUGACGGUACCCAAAGAAUAAGCACCGGCUAACUUCGUG
RNAcentral lists this ribosomal RNA (492 nucleotides) under uncultured bacterium. Its description in RNAcentral is "partial 16S ribosomal RNA". It matches the Rfam family "Bacterial small subunit ribosomal RNA", at positions 29 to 507 of the family's 1533-position model. The record is from RNAcentral.